RNAcentral lists this ribosomal RNA (397 nucleotides) under bacterium enrichment culture clone ALO1_GLFRUDD03FRJ2T. RNAcentral's name for it is "bacterial SSU rRNA". It matches the Rfam family "Bacterial small subunit ribosomal RNA", at positions 9 to 407 of the family's 1533-position model. RNAcentral also lists the same sequence under 5 other names. The record is from RNAcentral.
GAGUUUGAUCCUGGCUCAGAUUGAACGCUGGCGGCAUGCCUUACACAUGCAAGUCGAACGGCAGCACGGGAGCUUGCUCCUGGUGGCGAGUGGCGAACGGGUGAGUAAUGCAUCGGAACGUAUCCUGGAGUGGGGGAUAACGUAGCGAAAGUUACGCUAAUACCGCAUAUUCUGUGAGCAGGAAAGCGGGGGACCUUCGGGCCUCGCGCUCUUGGAGCGGCCGAUGUCGGAUUAGCUAGUUGGUGAGGUAAAGGCUCACCAAGGCGACGAUCCGUAGCAGGUCUGAGAGGAUGAUCUGCCACACUGGAACUGAGACACGGUCCAGACUCCUACGGGAGGCAGCAGUGGGAAUUUUGGACAAUGGGGGCAACCCUGAUCCAGCCAUGCCGCGUGAGUG